Non-coding RNA from Danio rerio (zebrafish), 54 nucleotides. NCBI's taxonomy places the organism in Eukaryota, Metazoa, Chordata, Actinopteri, Cypriniformes, Danionidae. The record is from Rfam.
UACCUCCACAAUUGUAUGUCGCUUUGGACAAAAGCGCCUGCUAAAUGACUAAAU